RNAcentral lists this long non-coding RNA (1371 nucleotides) under Hordeum vulgare. RNAcentral describes it as "long non-coding RNA (HVUL_LNC008275)". The record is from RNAcentral. Lineage: Eukaryota; Viridiplantae; Streptophyta; Magnoliopsida; Poales; Poaceae.
AAAACCCUAUCUCUCUCUCUCGCUCGCUUCGACCGCUCUCCUUCCUCCGCCGCCUGCACGCAGACCGGACUCGAGCCCUAAUCCGCUCUGCUUCUUCUCCUCUCGGUAAGCCCUAAUCCGCUCCCUUCCCCUUCCCUCUUAUUGGUCUGCGUCGUGAAAUUUCGAAUCCUCAUCCUUCCCCGAGUCCGAUGACGAGAGGGACGGCGUUCUUGAGAGCCCUGCUAGCUGCUCUAGUGUAGUGUAGGCUACCGAGAUGCAUGCUGCAUGCAUCCGCCGCUCCCCUGCUUUACAGUGUUUGCCGCAUCCGCCGUUUAUUUGUCGCAUAUGGAUUGGGUGAAAUUUUCAUUUUUUCCAUUGUUCCACACACAAGUCUGCGUAGACUGUACUGCUUCUCGCGGAAGAAAUUCGUCAUGUAAAGAUCGGUGAUGCAUAGCAGUUGUUGUUGUAUGUAUCUAUGUCCUCACACCACAGAAUCUAAUAAUAAGUUACACAACUUUGUUUUUUGAAAUCUUGUUUUGUUUAUAUGCAUGAAUAAGACAACAGUAACGCAAUAAACAGCAAAGAUAGUCCAAAAUCGUUAUAUGCGUUGGGCAACCUUUGUGGCUACAUCUCUCUUGUGUUGCUUCUUUGGCCUUACCUGUUGCAACUAGUGUCGACGUUUCUUUUUAUGUAAAUAAAAGCUGGACGGAAGCAUCAAGAUUAGAAUCGUUUACAAGCCUGCACAUUCUGUUUUCCAGUUAAAAUCAAUGCGUUGUAGCGUAGCAACUCUCAAGGGUGCUCUCUAGCUUCCCUGACGGUGAGUCUUGUGGGGUGCUUUGGCAUUUGCCUGCUAGCUGUUGGUUCUAUUCUAGAAAGUGUUAGUAAGUUAAUUGAGAACUUUAUGUUUACUUUUCGGUGAUGAAGCUAUGCCGUUUCUCUUUCCAAUUGUAGCCCAAGUUGCCGCACCUGCAUCAUGCUUUUACUAACAUGAGAAUGAAAUCUUCCAUUAGCAAUUAAUUGGCACAUUAAUUACUUACUGUCACAGAGAUGCCUUCGUAGAAUCCUUUACUAACAUGAAAAUCAAAUCCUUCACAGACCGCCUUCCAGAAUGCCCCCGAAGAAGCGACUGCACACGUCGCCCGCUGUUCCCAAGCUGGAAGACAAUGUAGAGGAAGCUGCUCCUGCUGUCUCUACAUCUGUCACGGAAGUUAGCAUGCGUGGUGAGUUUUACCGGCUCCUGCUUGCAGUGUGCAUGAAUGCAUGAUGCAUACGCAUCACAUUCUUUGUUCUCUGCGGGGUCGUUGAGUGGCUUGCGUGUUUGAUGGACUUGGCAGAUCCCAAGGAGGAAGUUGGUGACAGGGGCGAGGACAAAAAAGAUGACAGUGCUGACAU